RNAcentral lists this ribosomal RNA (305 nucleotides) under uncultured bacterium. RNAcentral's name for it is "bacterial SSU rRNA". It matches the Rfam family "Bacterial small subunit ribosomal RNA", at positions 337 to 635 of the family's 1533-position model. The record is from RNAcentral.
ACCUACGGGACGCAGCAGUAGGGAAUUUUCGUCAAUGGGCGCAAGCCUAAACGAGCAAUGCCGCGUGAACGAGGAAGGUCUUCGGAUCGUAAAGUUCUGUUGAAGGGGAAAAAGAGCGGAGAGAGGAAAUGCUUUCUGAUUGAUAUUACCCUUCGAGGAAGUCACGGCUAACUACGUGCCAGCAGCCGCGGUAAUACGUAGGUGGCGAGCGUUAUCCGGAAUGAUUGGGCGUAAAGGGUGCGUAGGCGGCCUGCUAAGUCUGGAGUGAAAGGUACCGGCUCAACCGGUACAGGCUCUGGAAACUG